RNAcentral lists this long non-coding RNA (694 nucleotides) under Mustela putorius furo (domestic ferret). RNAcentral describes it as "lncRNA (ENSMPUG00000025277.1)". The record is from RNAcentral. Lineage: Eukaryota; Metazoa; Chordata; Mammalia; Carnivora; Mustelidae.
AAAAAUGUUUAUUAAGUGCCUCCUAGACUUAGAGAAUGUUCUAUGGGCUGGAUACAUAAUAGUGAAAAUACAGAUGAGAUCCUUGAAACUGAAGGUAUAUUCAGUGAUGCUAUAGUAUCAGAAGUAUGGAUCUACAUAAAGAAAGGAAGGGCAUAAGAGAAGGAGAACUGCCAGCAGAGAUAUAGUGGGCCCUGAAACAGCAUGACUUUGAUGCUUAGAAAAUGCUCUCUUUUAACAAAGUAAAUCAAGCAUAUGUGUACGAGGACUGGGGCUCGACUGGUGUGGAGAGCACAGAAUGGUCUAGAUGUAUGACAAGGAGCAAGAAGAGGCUGCUGGGUAGCCGGGAAAGAGCAGGGAUGAAAAGAGGCAUCAGAAGAUGAGGCCUGGCAGGAAACUCAGGUGAUACCGAGCUGACCUCCCUAUCAGAACAGACUGUUGUAUUCACGAGCACCAAUAUUAUCUUCUUUUCAUCACAUUCGUGUGGCAAAUCAUAUUCGUGUAUUUACAUUGUAUUGGAUACUCGUGUGCUAAGGGCAAUUAUCAGACUCCACAGAUUUCCUGUCAAGAGGGGAACUCGGAAGGCCACCUGGUUCGUUCGUAGCAUUGAGGUGGGCUUCAUGGGCCCCAGUCCAAAACGAAGUUCUCUUUGCCUGAAGAGGAUGUUCUGAAAUAAACCAUGUCUUGUUUUCUGACC